Molecule: non-coding RNA, 1719 nt
Organism: Lepisosteus oculatus (spotted gar)
Lineage: Eukaryota; Metazoa; Chordata; Actinopteri; Semionotiformes; Lepisosteidae
Source: RefSeq, a predicted model, not a curated record
ACAGCUAUUGGGUAGAAAAAGCGUCAAUUAUUUCAGCUGGACAGCCCCUUCUGUGCAGAAAACUUCCUUUUUUCCAUAUAGGGCGAACCUACUGUUACAAUUGUUCUAAUCGCAGAAUUGCUUUUGUAUCACUCACUCUGCUACGUAAUCAUUCAUUUUCCUUCGCUAGAUAGGUAACAUUCCUCCUCCUCUGUUCUCGAAAGGGCUAUUACGUUGAGAAUCUGCGCUGGGGAAUAUCAACAGACAAAACGCCCUAAAGCGGUCUCAAGUAAAUUCGGAGAAACAGUUGUGCCAAACCGGACGAGUAGCUCAAGACUCAAAAACAGCUUAUGUCUGACAAGUUUUUCGCCAGAGUUUACAUUUCAUUAUAAAGAAGGACUCAGGGAUAAAUGUAGUUUUAUACUUAAACAAGUAAAAAUAAUUUAAAAAUUCCUUUCGCAUCCGGUGAACCCAUAAGGAAUUCUCUGUGAUGGACUGGCAACACGUCUGGGGCGUAAAUCUUACGCCUGUUGCUUGCUGGGAUAGGACCUGACUCCCGCGCAACCCUGUACUGGAUGGAAGUGGUUUGAAAAUAGGAGGAUGGGUCAGGAAUUCCUGUGAGAGUAAAUACUUCAUGAAAUAUCCUUCUGCAGACAGCUAUUAGACCUCUGAGAAUUCUGUAUUUUAUCAACCCACAAAAAUACUCUUUGUAAUGAGAUCUUGAAUGUUGCUGCUCUUGUUGCACCCAAAUAAAAGGAAACAUGAUACAAUGGUUAUAUCCACAAGGUUCAGCUAUGAGUUAUUACAAACAAUUGUUUUAUUAAACGAAACACGUACAAGGAAAUGGCCGAUAGUGGAUGUGUUGCCAUCUGGUAGAUCCAGAAUUCCUCUGCUGCUGGAAAAAGUCACAGCAGCAUGAAGCUCUGCAGUAAGAAUUAUGUUGUGUUAGUCAAUGGAAAAGACUUUGAAUCGGCUAAAAGGAGACAAAAUAGUUGGAAAGGUGGAACACAAGCCAGACCAAAUGGGAAAAACAAGUCUGCAUCACAAAAUAAAAAUAAGUGUUAUCACCAUUGCAAAACAUAAUUUCCCACUGGUCUAGUAGAAUGGCUUGUCAACUUUCUUGCAAACUGAUUUUUCCAAAUUAGUUUUAUAUGUUCAGUUUCCUACCUGUAAUUUUACAAAAAACAAGGUUUGUUGCACCUUGUUUCUUUGGUGCUUUUUAAGAUGUUUAAUUCACUUUAAACUAUUUGGGAACAAAGUUUGCACUGUAACAUACAGUAUAAUUUGAAAAUUGUAUCUGUGUUAUCAAGUAUUCUGCUUACAUAAAAUUUAGUUAUGUUUAUUUUUCUUCUUCUCUUCUUUUCUUUUUUUCAGCAUGGAAUAAACCUAUUACUUGUUCCUAAAAUUUAGUUAUUCUAUUAAAGUGUUUAGGCUGUAGGGUUUUAUCAUAGUUUAAGCACUUAAACCCUCUUUAACUGUGUAUGUAUCUAGUUAUGUAACUGGGUACGCAUUUUACCAUUACAACAUGGUAUACAGUGAAUGAUUUCUUGUAUUUUCAUCAAUGUGUUACAUAUACUUUUACAUACACACACUAUUUUACUGGUGCUUUACUCUCUCAGAAUAUCAGACAAGAUGCAGCUUCACUAAGUAAAGGUUUAUUUAUACUGUCUUAUAUUGUUGAUGUCCUUUUUGGGUUAUUCUUUAUGAUUUGUUUCUGCUUCUACUACAAUGUUCACUAAC